RNAcentral lists this ribosomal RNA (672 nucleotides) under alpha proteobacterium IMCC15253. RNAcentral's name for it is "bacterial SSU rRNA". It matches the Rfam family "Bacterial small subunit ribosomal RNA", at positions 29 to 743 of the family's 1533-position model. The record is from RNAcentral. Lineage: Bacteria; Pseudomonadati; Pseudomonadota; Alphaproteobacteria.
ACGUACGCUGGCGGCACGCCUAACACAUGCAAGUCGAACGAAGUAGCAAUACUUAGUGGCAGACGGGUGAGUAACAUGUAGGUAUCUGCCCUUUGGCCUGGAAUAACACGAGGAAACUUGUGCUAAUACCGGAUAAGUCUUUACGGAGAAAGCUUUAUGCACCAUUGGAUGAGCCUGCACUUGAUUAGUUUGUUGGUGGGGUAAUGGCCUACCAAGACUGUGAUCAAUAGCUGAUUUGAGAGGAUGAUCAGCCACAUUGGGACUGAGACACGGCCCAAACUCCUACGGGAGGCAGCAGUGGGGAAUCUUGCACAAUGGAGGAAACUCUGAUGCAGCGAUGCCGCGUGAGUGAAGAAGGCCCUUGGGUUGUAAAGCUCUUUCGUCGGGGAAGAAAAUGGACUGUACCCGAAUAAGAAGGUCCGGCUAACUUCGUGCCCAGCAGCCCGCGGUAAAUACGAAGGGACCUAGCGUAGUUCGGAAUUACUGGGCUUAAAGAGUUCGUAGGUGGUUGAAAAAGUUAGUGGUGAAAUCCCAGAGCUUAACUCUGGAACUGCCAUUAAAACUUUUCAGCUAGAGUAUGAUAGAGGAAAGCAGAAUUUCUAGUGUAGAGGUGAAAUUCGUAGAUAUUAGAAAGAAUACCAAUGCGAAGGCAGCUCUCUGGAUCAUUACUGA